RNAcentral lists this unclassified non-coding RNA (194 nucleotides) under plant metagenome. RNAcentral describes it as "partial contains small subunit ribosomal RNA and internal transcribed spacer 1". The stretch from base 1 to 46 matches the Rfam family "Eukaryotic small subunit ribosomal RNA", at positions 1786 to 1831 of the family's 1831-position model. The record is from RNAcentral.
AAGUCGUAACAAGGUCUCCGUAGGUGAACCUGCGGAGGGAUCAUUACUGAGUGAGGGUUCCGGCCCGACCUCCAACCCCAUGUAUUCCGACUCUGUUGCCUCGGGGGCGACCCUGCCUUUGGGCGUUGGGGCCCCGGCUGGACACCACAACACUGCAUCUUUGCGUCUGAGUAACAUUUUGAAUUAAAUCAAAA